RNA transcript from Brassica oleracea var. oleracea, 2982 nucleotides. It is a transcript of the gene named probable helicase MAGATAMA 3, with no coding region annotated. The record is from RefSeq and is a predicted model, not a curated record. Lineage: Eukaryota; Viridiplantae; Streptophyta; Magnoliopsida; Brassicales; Brassicaceae. The transcript is spliced from 5 exons.
AAUUUUCAAAGCAAAUCAAAUUUGGAAGAACCCUAGAUCAAAAAAAAAAAAAAAAAAAAAAAAAAAGAGAAAGAUCAAGAAUCAAAAUGGAUUAUUUUCUCUUCCAUUCUCGAAGCAGAGCUUUCUCAUCCCCGGUGAACCUGUAAUCAUAGCCGUUCCAGAUCUUGCUUCACCUCAAGUUUUCAGUCCGGCAACUAGAAGAUCUCGGUGUGAUCUCGGCGUUCUCGGUUCGUCUACGUCAAGCAUAAAUCUCCGGUCAAGCAUAUCAGUUGGGCCCGUAAGCCCAAUUCUCCACUGAAGGAGCUUGUCGCAUCUGUCUCCUCUUUGCUCAGAAAGAUUGCAAAAAGCUCGAGAAUUGAUCUCGGCGAAGCUCACGAGCUUGACCUUGCAACACCUGAAACUUUCAGUCCAUCAAGUAGCUCCCGACUCGUGCUUUGGAGUCCCGCUUUGCUCACGGAAGAGACAGAGGUCAGAGAUUCAAUCCUGGUGGCGAGUUUGAGCUUUGACGAGGAAGACGUACUUCUUGGCACCGAGUGAAUUCGAAGAUGUAGAUCCAGCGGCUUCGUUGAUUGAUCGCUUCAUCUUCGUCAUUUCUGAAGAAUCUGACGGAACGACAUCCUUGGAUGAAUGCUAGUGACGGCACGGCCGCAUGGGUAGUAGUUUCCUUGAAGCGGUAUCCUAUCUCUUGUAACAGGCGAUUAGCUCCUGGUCAUCAAAAGCCUCAUCGACAAGCUCCACACGAUACUCCAAGUCUGAUCAGUCCCCAUCGCCUUUCUCAUGAAGCUCUGCUCUUGAUGUCAUUGGUUUUGUAACGGCGGAGUCGUUGUUCUCCGGCAAGAGAAACAAAUUACUUGAAGGAUAAAGUUCAGACAUCAUUUAUUGGUUCGUGGGCUAGUAUCGGAGUAAUAGGUCAAUCUCGUUUCAGCUAUUCCCGUCGUUAGCUAUCACUGGAGAACAGAAGCCACAGUGAUUUAUUGACAAAGGAAGAAGCUUUCUCAUGAAGCGAUGCUCUUGAUAUCAGCAAAGGCUCACCAAAGUUCGAAACUUCCUUCGAGAGCCUCACCAUCUUGCCGUCAGAAGCUUAUAUAAGACAAGCUGCAUCUCUCAGCCUUGUUGAAAGUUUGAGCUCACGAGCACGCAAGAAUCAGAAAGGUUUCUCUUCAUCUCGUCGUACUUAUCUCGGCGUAGUCUUGCCGCUAACAGUUUCAGGAUCAGUAAUGGAAUGUCAUUGCAUCUUUGCCACAAGAAGUUGAGUUUACUUGAAUGGUUCUCGGCUAAACUUAACACUUGACGGCGACGAAGGCUCAGCCACUUGCUCCGCAUCUCAUUCGAGGCUUGGAGUUGUUCUCGAGUACAGCCGGAGAAGGCUUUUCCUGUGUUGAUCAGCGUUAGCCUGUCCCUUAGCUGCUGGUUCACCUGACUUCUUGGGCUGUCUCUGUUUCUUAGGACGAGAUGGAAAUGAUGAAACGAUCUCAGCAUGAUAAUUCUUGAGGUCGACAUUACCUUGCCUUCUUCUCCAAAGUUCGCCAAGACGAGCUUACCGCAACCGGCACGAACUUGAGAGAAGGAGAGACCGAUGGAAACAAACAACAACAACAUAGAGCUGCUUCUUCAGCUAUGUACAGAUCCGUGCAGAUGAUCUCUAGAGAAGACUUAUAGGGAACGCUCUACUGAUGGGCUAAAGCAGUUGAGAACUGCGAUGUGGCAAUGGUUGAUCUCUCAACUACACGUAACAACGAGGUGUCAUAUCGGCAACAAAAGCUAUUCGUCACGAACUUGCCAUCUCAGUCGUGUUUCUCCGCAUGGCUCUAGAGUAUCAAGCUCUAGACAGACCUGCAGCGGACGUGAUUCUCGUCGGCUCGGCUUCGACUUGUUACAUACAACCACCUCUUCACAACAAAGAUAAGUUAUUUUAUCAAACCAUCACGUGUUUUAAUCACGUAAACAUUGUGGCUUUGGUUUAAACUAAUGAAACAACUCUAAACUGUUCAUUCAUCUUAUGUUAUUGCUUAGCUGUUGGUAGUCUAUGAUAUUAAUAAGUUGACAAUUAUUAUAUCAUCAUGCACAACUCACUAGCAUUAAGUAAAAUCAAGUUCAAUCGGUUGUUUAUUAAUUAUGCAACUGUUGAUUUUUUCUCUUGGUUUAUAUUGAUCUAAUCAUGAUCAUGGUUUUCUUGAGCCAGAGAUCGUUGAGCCAAAAGGAAAAGAGAAUCACAAGCGGUUGCCACCAUCAUGUCCUCAUGCUUCGAAGGACGGCCCUCACCUACGAGCUUGUCGGAAGCAGCACAAGUCGGCGCUUUCUCACGUCAUCAUGGCCUGACGAACACACAAGCCAACAACUUUCUCGGCACACAUGAUCUCAACACGAGACUUCGGGUCGGCAAUAGUUCGGUUCAAGGAGAUGGUUGGUGCAGAGGCUGGAAAAGUGGUUGAUAUCUCAACACUGUUGAUGGGUUUCAGGGAAUGGAGAAGGAUGUUGCAAUAUUUUCAUGCGUCAGGGCUAACGAUAAAGGGGAAAUAGGUUUUCUCUCUAAUUCUCGGAGAAUGAAUGUUGGCAUUACACGAGCUUAGUCUUUUGUACCGGUCAUUGGCUCAGCUGCUACAUUAAAGAGUAAUCCACUGGGGAAAAAUAUAGUAGAAAGUGCUGAGAAGAGAAACCCAUUAUUCAAGGUAUCGAAGCCAAUGAACUAUUUCUUGAGCGAGGAGAAUUUGGAGACGAUGAAUGUGACUGAGGACAUGGAGAUUCCUGAUGCUGCAAGGUAUGAACUCCUCCUGUUGCAAGUUAUGGCACUACAAAAAAAGAUGGAUAUUGUGACUAAUUUUUGUGUCAAAAUAGUUUGUCACAAUAUUGUGACUAAUUGUUAACUAACUUGUGACCAAGUUAUUACGUUACAAAAUGGUAACUAUUUGGUCAUAAUAUUGUAACUGAAUGUUAAGGAACAAAAUAAUGUCACAAAUGAUGACGAAUUAGAGACAAAAAUUU